RNAcentral lists this ribosomal RNA (301 nucleotides) under uncultured bacterium. RNAcentral describes it as "partial 16S ribosomal RNA". It matches the Rfam family "Bacterial small subunit ribosomal RNA", at positions 509 to 807 of the family's 1533-position model. The record is from RNAcentral.
CAGUAGCCGCGGGAAUACGUAGGUGGCAAGCGUUGUCCGGAAUUAUUGGGCGUAAAGGGCUCGCAGGCGGUUUCUUAAGUCUGAUGUGAAAGCCCCCGGCUCAACCGGGGAGGGUCAUUGGAAACUGGGAAACUUGAGUGCAGAAGAGGAGAGUGGAAUUCCACGUAUAGCGGUGAAAUGCGUAGAGAUGUGGAGGAACACCAGUGGCGAAGGCGACUCUCUGGUCUGUAACUGACGCUGAGGGGCGAAAGCGUGGGGAGCGAACAGGAUUAGAUACCCCUGUAGUCCCUGUCUCUUAUAC